GCCUGGCUGGCUCAGUCAGUAGAGCAUGUGACUCUUAAUCUCAGAGUCAUGAGUUCAAGCUCUAAGUUAGGCA
This 73-nucleotide transfer RNA is filed under the name Felis catus (domestic cat). It matches the Rfam family "tRNA". Rfam says of the family: Transfer RNA (tRNA) molecules are approximately 80 nucleotides in length. The record is from Rfam by way of RNAcentral. Lineage: Eukaryota; Metazoa; Chordata; Mammalia; Carnivora; Felidae. RNAcentral also lists the same sequence under 2 other names.